UGAAGUACCUUUAGGAUUUUUUUGAUUUACUUUUCUACUUCACAUCUGAAUUCUUUGAACAUUUCAAAAUCUUUAGAUUUAUAUCUCAUACAUAUACCUAUACCAUGACUAAUCAUCAGUAAAGGUGAUGAAGUAGUGAUAACCUUCUAGUCUAGCUCAUUAAAUGGGCUAUGCACAUCGUAUGUGUACCAAGAUAAGUAUCUCAAUGG
This 209-nucleotide long non-coding RNA is filed under the name Elaeis guineensis (African oil palm). Its description in RNAcentral is "long non-coding RNA (EGUI_LNC051045)". Lineage: Eukaryota; Viridiplantae; Streptophyta; Magnoliopsida; Arecales; Arecaceae. The record is from RNAcentral.